UACGUAGGGUGCGAGCGUUGUCCGGAAUUAUUGGGCGUAAAGAGCUCGUAGGCGGUUCGUCGCGUCGGGUGUGAAAACCCGGAGCUCAACUCCGGGCCUGCAGUCGAUACGGGCGGACUUGAGUGUUGCAGGGGAGACUGGAAUUCCUGGUGUAGCGGUGAAGUGCGCAGAUAUCAGGAGGAACACCGGUGGCGAAGGCGGGUCUCUGGGCAACUACUGACGCUGAGGAGCGAAAGCGUGGGGAGCGAACAGG
This 253-nucleotide ribosomal RNA is filed under the name uncultured bacterium. RNAcentral describes it as "partial 16S ribosomal RNA". It matches the Rfam family "Bacterial small subunit ribosomal RNA", at positions 524 to 776 of the family's 1533-position model. The record is from RNAcentral.